GUUAUAUGGUCAAGUGAAGAAGCGCAUACGGUGGAUGCCUUGGCAGUCAGAGGCGAUGAAAGACGUGGUAGCCUGCGAAAAGCUUCGGGGAGUCGGCAAACAGACUGUGAUCCGGAGAUGUCUGAAUGGGGGAACCCAGCCAUCAUAAGAUGGUUAUCUUGUACUGAAUACAUAGGUGCAAGAGGCGAACCAGGGGAACUGAAACAUCUAAGUACCCUGAGGAAAAGAAAUCAACCGAGAUUCCCUUAGUAGUGGCGAGCGAACGGGGACCAGCCCUUAAGUUGUAUUGAGAUUAGCGGAACGUUCUGGAAAGGACGGCCAUAGUGGGUGAUAGCCCUGUACGCGAAAAUCCCUUUGCAAUGAAAUCGAGUAGGACGGGGCACGAGAAACCUUGUCUGAAUAUGGGGGGACCAUCCUCCAAGGCUAAAUACUACUGACUGACCGAUAGUGAACCAGUACCGUGAGGGAAAGGCGAAAAGAACCGCGGAGAGCGGAGUGAAAUAGAUCCUGAAACCGUAUGCGUACAAGCAGUGGGAGCCCACUUUGUUGGGUGACUGCGUACCUUUUGUAUAAUGGGUCAGCGACUUAUUUUCAGUGGCGAGCUUAACCGAAUAGGGGAGGCGUAGCGAAAGCGAGUCUUAAUAGGGCGUCUAGUCGCUGGGAAUAGACCCGAAACCGGGCGAUCUAUCCAUGGGCAGGUUGAAGGUUGGGUAACACUAACUGGAGGACCGAACCGACUACCGUUGAAAAGUUAGCGGAUGACCUGUGGAUCGGAGUGAAAGGCUAAUCAAGCUCGGAGAUAGCUGGUUCUCCUCGAAAGCUAUUUAGGUAGCGCCUCAUGUAUCACUGUAGGGGGUAGAGCACUGUUUCGGCUAGGGGGUCAUCCCGACUUACCAAACCGAUGCAAACUCCGAAUACCUACAAGUGCCGAGCAUGGGAGACACACGGCGGGUGCUAACGUCCGUCGUGAAAAGGGAAACAACCCAGACCGUCAGCUAAGGUCCCAAAGUCAUGGUUAAGUGGGAAACGAUGUGGGAAGGCUUAGACAGCUAGGAGGUUGGCUUAGAAGCAGCCACCCUUUAAAGAAAGCGUAAUAGCUCACUAGUCGAGUCGGCCUGCGCGGAAGAUGUAACGGGGCUCAAACCAUGCACCGAAGCUACGGGUAUCAUCUUUUGAUGAUGCGGUAGAGGAGCGUUCUGUAAGCCUGUGAAGGUGAGUUGAGAAGCUUGCUGGAGGUAUCAGAAGUGCGAAUGCUGACAUGAGUAACGACAAUGGGUGUGAAAAACACCCACGCCGAAAGACCAAGGUUUCCUGCGCAACGUUAAUCGACGCAGGGUUAGUCGGUCCCUAAGGCGAGGCUGAAAAGCGUAGUCGAUGGAAAACAGGUUAAUAUUCCUGUACUUCUGGUUAUUGCGAUGGAGGGACGGAGAAGGCUAGGCCAGCCUGGCGUUGGUUGUCCAGGUUUAAGGUGGUAGGCUGAGAUCUUAGGUAAAUCCGGGAUCUUAAGGCCGAGAGCUGAUGACGAGUGUUCUUUAGAACACGAAGUGGUUGAUGCCAUGCUUCCAAGAAAAGCUUCUAAGCUUCAGGUAACCAGGAACCGUACCCCAAACCGACACAGGUGGUUGGGUAGAGAAUACCAAGGCGCUUGAGAGAACUCGGGUGAAGGAACUAGGCAAAAUGGCACCGUAACUUCGGGAGAAGGUGCGCCGGUGAGGGUGAAGCAUUUACUGCGUAAGCUCAUGCCGGUCGAAGAUACCAGGCCGCUGCGACUGUUUAUUAAAAACACAGCACUCUGCAAACACGAAAGUGGACGUAUAGGGUGUGACGCCUGCCCGGUGCCGGAAGGUUAAUUGAUGGGGUUAGCGCAAGCGAAGCUCUUGAUCGAAGCCCCGGUAAACGGCGGCCGUAACUAUAACGGUCCUAAGGUAGCGAAAUUCCUUGUCGGGUAAGUUCCGACCUGCACGAAUGGCGUAACGAUGGCGGCGCUGUCUCCACCCGAGACUCAGUGAAAUUGAAAUCGCUGUGAAGAUGCAGUGUAUCCGCGGCUAGACGGAAAGACCCCGUGAACCUUUACUAUAGCUUUGCACUGGACUUUGAAUUUGCUUGUGUAGGAUAGGUGGGAGGCUUUGAAGCGUGGACGCCAGUCUGCGUGGAGCCAACCUUGAAAUACCACCCUGGCAACUUUGAGGUUCUAACUCAGGUCCGUUAUCCGGAUCGAGGACAGUGUAUGGUGGGUAGUUUGACUGGGGCGGUCUCCUCCUAAAGAGUAACGGAGGAGUACGAAGGUGCGCUCAGACCGGUCGGAAAUCGGUCGUAGAGUAUAAAGGCAAAAGCGCGCUUGACUGCGAGACAGACACGUCGAGCAGGUACGAAAGUAGGUCUUAGUGAUCCGGUGGUUCUGUAUGGAAGGGCCAUCGCUCAACGGAUAAAAGGUACUCCGGGGAUAACAGGCUGAUACCGCCCAAGAGUUCAUAUCGACGGCGGUGUUUGGCACCUCGAUGUCGGCUCAUCACAUCCUGGGGCUGAAGCCGGUCCCAAGGGUAUGGCUGUUCGCCAUUUAAAGUGGUACGCGAGCUGGGUUUAGAACGUCGUGAGACAGUUCGGUCCCUAUCUGCCGUGGACGUUUGAGAUUUGAGAGGGGCUGCUCCUAGUACGAGAGGACCGGAGUGGACGAACCUCUGGUGUUCCGGUUGUCACGCCAGUGGCAUUGCCGGGUAGCUAUGUUCGGAAAAGAUAACCGCUGAAAGCAUCUAAGCGGGAAACUUGCCUCAAGAUGAGAUCUCACUGGAACCUUGAGUUCCCUAAAGGGCCGUCGAAGACUACGACGUUGAUAGGUUGGGUGUGUAAGCGCUGUGAGGCGUUGAGCUAACCAAUACUAAUUGCCCGUGAGGCUUGACCAUAUAACACCCAAGCAAUU
RNAcentral lists this ribosomal RNA (2917 nucleotides) under Pseudomonas syringae. RNAcentral's name for it is "23S ribosomal RNA". It matches the Rfam family "Bacterial large subunit ribosomal RNA". Lineage: Bacteria; Pseudomonadati; Pseudomonadota; Gammaproteobacteria; Pseudomonadales; Pseudomonadaceae. The record is from RNAcentral.